ACUUCCGCUUCCUGCCGCCCUGUGAAGAGGGUGCCUUUCUUUCCCUUCGCCUUCUACCAGGAUUGUUAAGUUUCCUGAAGCCUUCCCAGCCACGUGGAACUAAUUUCACUCUUGUGGCCCAGGCUGGAGUGCAAUGGCGUGAUCUCAGCUCACUGCAACUUCUACCUCUCGGAUUCAAGUGAUUCUCCUGCCUCAGCCUCCCAGGUAGCUGGGUUUACAGGUAUGAGCCACCACACCCGGCUAAUUUUUUGUAUUUUUAGUAGAGAUGUGGUUUUGCCAUGUUCAUCAGGUUGGUCUCGAACUCCUGACCUCAGGUGAUCAACCUGCCUAUGCCUCCCAAAGCUCUGGGAUUACAGGCAUGAGCCACUGAGCCUGGCUAAUUGAUUUUAUUUUUUAUAAAAGUUUUAAAUUUACAGAAAGAUGGAGCAGAUAGUAGGGAGAAUUUGCAUAUAUCCUCCCUCUAUGCUUCAAUCUCACACACAGUUUUCCUUAUUGCUAACAUCGUACAUUAGCACAGUUUGUUAAAAUUAAUGAACCAAUAUUGAUAUAUUAUUAACUGACGUCCAUAAUUUAUUCUGAUUUUUUUUUUAGUUUUUACCUAAUGUUUAUUUUCUACUCUAGGGUCCUGAGUCCUUAGUCCCCUUUUGGCUGUGAUGAUUUAUCAUGCUUUCCCUUUUUUUGAUGACCUUGAUAGUUUUGGGAAGUGCUGGUCAGAUACAUUGUUGGGGUGCCUUUCUAUUAGAAUUUCAUGUUUUUCUCACUAUUGGACUAGAGUUAUGGUUUUUGUGGAGAAAGAUCACAAAGGCAAAGUAUAAUUUUUAAUCACAUUACAUCCAGGGUAUGUACGAUUUACAGCAUUUAUGAGUAUUGAUGUUGAUUUUGAUGGCUGAUGUAGUGUUUGUCAGGUUUCUUCACUGUUUUUCUUACCCCUUUCUUCCAUACUGUAUUCUUUGGAAGAAAGUUACUAUGUGCUUCCAAGACUUAAGGAUCUGGGAGUUAUGCUUCCCCUAUUUUAGGGUGAAAGGUCUAAAUAAGUUAUUUGGAAUUCUUCUGGAUAGAUUUGUUUCUUCUCUCCCAUUUAUUAGUUUAUUUAAUUAUUUAUAUCCAUAAGGACUUGUGGAUAUUUAUUUUAUCCAAUACUAUUUUAUUUUGUUGCUCCAAUUGCCCCAUCUUUGGGCAUUGGGAGCUCUUUCAGUUGGCUCCUGUGGCACUUUGACAUACCCUAAUCAUUGUGAGUUUGUGUGUGUGUGCGUGUAUGUGUGUAUGUUUUGAGCACUGUGCUUCACCUAUUCAUUCCUCCCUCUCUUGCCUUCAUGCCCUAACCUCUGGCAACCAGUGAUAUUUUUUGUCUCUAUAGUUUGCCCUUGCCAGAAUAUGAUAUAAUUGAAAUCACACAACAUGUAGCAUUUUCAGGCUAGCUUCUGUUACUUGCAAUAUGCAUUCACAUGCAUUUAAAUGUAGCUUGCAUUUAAGCAUGACCUACCUUUUUGUGGCUUGAGAGAUCAUUUCCUUUUAUCACUGAAUCCUGUUCCACUAUUUGGAUGUCCUAGUUUGCUUAUCCAUUCACUUAUUGAAAAACAUCUUGGUUGGUUCCACUUUGGGUAGUUAUAAGUAAAGCUGUUAUAAACAUUUGAGUACAGGUAUUUUUGUGCACAUAAGUUUUCAAGUGAAUUGGGUAAAUAACUAGGAGCCUGAUCAUAUGGUAAGACUAUGUUUAGCUUUGUAAGAAUGUGCCAAACUGUCUUCCAAAGUGGCUGUACCAUCUUGCAUUCCCACCAGAAAUGAAUGAGAGUUUCUUUUGCUGUGCUUCAUUGCCAGUAUUUGUUAUUGUCAAAUUUUUGGAUUUUAGUCACUCUAAUAGGUGUAUAGUGGUAUCUCUUUGUUUAAUUUGCAAUUAUUUAAUGAAAAAUGAUGUUGCACAUCUUUUCAUAUGGUUAUUUGCCAUUUGUAUGUCUUUUUUGAUGAGGUGUAUGUUCAGGCCAUUUGACCAUUUUUUAUUGGAUUGUUUGAGUUCUUAUUGUUUUUAUUUUAUUUUAUUUUACUUUAAGUUCCAGGAUGCAUGUGCAGAAUGUGCAGGUUUGUUGUAUAGAUAUACAUGUGCCAUGGUGGUUUGCUGCACCUAUUGACCCAUAAUCUGUGUUUUCUCCCCUUGCUCCCAACCCCCCAAUAGGCCCUGGUGUGUGUUUUUUCCCACCAUGUGUUCUCAUUGUUUAAUUUCCACCUAUGAGUGAGAAUAUGCGAUGUUUGGUUUUCUGUUCCUGUGUUAGUUUGCUUAGGAUGAUGGCUUCCAGCUUCAUCCAUGUCCCUGCAAAGGACAUGAUCUCAUUCCUUUUUUGGCUGCAUAGUAUUCCAUGGUAUAUAUGUACCACAUUUUCUUUAUCCACUCUAUCAUUGAUGGGCAUUUGGGUCGGUUCCAUGUCUUUACUAUUGUAAAUAGUGCUGCAAUAAACAUACAUGUGCAUGUGUCUUUAUAGUAGAAUGAUUUAUAUUCCUUUGGGUAUAUACCCAGUAAUGGGACUGCGGGUCAAAUGGUAUUUCUGGUUCUAGAUUCUUGAGGAAUCACCAUGCUAUCUUCCACGAUGGUUGAACUAAUUUACAUUCCCACCAACAGUGUAAAAGUGUCCUUAUUUCUCCACAGCCUCUCCAGCAUCUAUUGUUUCUUGACUUUUUAAUAAUUGCCACUCUGACUGGCAUGAGAUGGUAUCUCAUUGUGGAUUUUGAUUUGCAUUUCUCUAAUGACAGUGACGUUGAGCUUUUUUUUCAUAUGUGUUUUGGCCACGUAAAUGCCUUCUUUUGAAAAGUGUCUGUUCAUAUCCUUUGCUCACUUUUCAAUAGGGUUUUUUUUUUCUUGUAAAUUUGUUUAAGUUCCUUGUAAAUUCUGGAUAUUAGACCUUUGUCAGAUGGGUAGAUUGCAAAACUUUUCUCUCACUCUCUAGGUUGCCUGUUUGCUCUGAUGAUAGUUUCUUUUGCUGUGCAGAAGCUCUUUAAUCCCAUCCCAUUUGUCAAUAUAUUCAGGUUAUUUGACCACUUUUUAUUGAAUUGUUUGAGUUCUUAUUGUUGAGUUUUAAGAGUUCUUUUUAUAUUUUGAAUACAAGCCCUCUAUCAGAUAUGUGUUUUGUGAUAAUUUUCUCACAGUAUGUGGCUUGUAAUUUUAUUCUAUUAAUAAUGUCUUUCACAG
RNAcentral lists this long non-coding RNA (3178 nucleotides) under Homo sapiens (human). RNAcentral describes it as "HSALNT0403190". Lineage: Eukaryota; Metazoa; Chordata; Mammalia; Primates; Hominidae. The record is from RNAcentral.